This is a long non-coding RNA of Halichondria panicea, 7153 nucleotides long. RefSeq lists it as uncharacterized. The transcript has 3 exons. NCBI's taxonomy places the organism in Eukaryota, Metazoa, Porifera, Demospongiae, Suberitida, Halichondriidae. The record is from RefSeq and is a predicted model, not a curated record.
CACAACCCAGUAGUCACAUGAGAUAAAGUCCUAAGAGAGCCUCCAAGAGAGCCUCCAUAACAAAGCCAAGUAAACUGCAGCAACCCACUCAGAAUAACAUAAGAUAAGUGCUCCCACCAUUAUUACUGUAAUUAAAUAGCUAAGCAUACCCAAGGUGUAAAAUACAUAAGUAUACUAAAUUGUUAAGACUGUGGAUACAUGAACAAGAUAUCCUCAAACCAUUGAAUAGCUAUGUAAACAUACCCAAUGUGUAAUAAGUAGCUGUGUACAAGUAUUGUGUACAAGUAUCUAUACUUAAGACUGUGGAUGCAUUGAAUGAGCGGAGAGAGUUGGUACCAUCAAAGAUCUUUAAUCCCCAUUCCCGAAUCUCAAGGUCGGGCGUUCAAGUGCUUCUUUGUUUAUCAUUUGUCUAUGUUUUCUGUUUUAAUUUAUUUUCUGUCCCCUGUGCCCCCCCCCCAUUUGUUAUUAUUGACAAUAACCAGUACUGCCCACUUUGAAUUCAGACUAUAACCUAAGUCCUUUAGAUAAUAGCAGCAGAGCCACUGCAAAUGCAAGCUCACUUAAUAGGUAUAAUCAGUGGCGGAUCCAGAGGUAGUUCGUUGGGUUCGUACGAACUACCCUUCCACUAAGUUGAUACUUUAUAUUUAAUACACCUAGGACCUGGCUAGCUAGCUACCGGUAGCUUACUGUCGUGACAAUAGGGUACAAAGUUCUUCUCUCUGCAUAAUGUGAGGGUGGGGCUGGUACUCUCUGCAUAAUAUGAGGGUGGGGCUGGCUAUAAGGUCUAGAUUGCAACCCUCCAUUGACUCCUGGUUUAAGAAGAGUAAAGUUUCAGGUAAGGGAGAGUUCACGGCACUGCAUACUGAAUGAUAGACACUGUAUAGAUACACUGUAUAGAUUAAUUAUAAUUGCUAUAAUAAUUGGGGCGAGCGAAGCGAGUCCCUACCUAGUCUUCAACGUUGCAAUUUUGUCUGUAUGUAUGUAUGUAUGUAUGUAUGUAUGUAUGUAUCCAUGGACCGGCACAAUGAUUUGCUUUUGGGACUCAUGAUCCUUACCGACUUCCACGUCGAUGUUAAUAAAAAUUAAUAUUGCAUCCAUCUUGAUGAAUUGAUGAAGUGUCGAACAAGGAACGGUAUGAUCGUGUCACAGUGAAUGCCAAAGUAUUGAUGGUUUCACCUAAGGCCCAGAUAUCAGAUGGGCUCUGGAAACAAGAUGUUCAUAUCGCAGAUUCCACGACAUCAACUAAGCUAAUUCUUUUUGAGAACAAGAUUGAUUCGCUUGUAAAAGGUGAAACAUACAAAUUUGAAAACAUUCUUGUCAAUGAGUUCCAGCACCAAAAAUAUCUUCAAGUACCUCGCAACGGGUCAACAGGGACAAAAAUUGAGGAACUGCCAAAUGUUGUGGCCCAUGAUGAUGUCCCAGACACUUUCCGAACUGUACCAUCAGCUGAAAUUGUAGGUGUUUUAUCACUCGACUUGUAUAUCUCAUGUCUCAACUGCAAAAGUAAGAUCACCAUCUCAACUGACACUACAGGCAAAUGCAACAAAUGCUCAUUGAUUCAAAGUCUUCGUCACUCCACAAAGCAAUUGAGAGCUAAAGUUAUCAUAAGCACACCAGGUGGAAACUAUCUUACAUUGGACGUAUUUGGCCAAAAUGUAGCAGCAAUUGCUGAAAUAGAUGAAGCCGAAGUCACUGCUGACAACCUAAUCUCUGCACAGCCCUUCUCAUGUUCUUAUAAUGGUACUGUCAUGAACUCAGUUACGCGACCUUGAUAACUACCAGUGCGAAUGUAAAAUGCUUCUACUACGUAUACUAAAUUAAUAACCUUGAAUUUAAAUACAACAUAUUUCUUUUAAUUCGUAAAACAAGCAUGUUUUCUUACGCUCGCCCCACAAUGUUCAACAUUCUCCUAGUUAUAAAUUAUUGACUAUUAAAUAUAAUAAUCUAGAUGAUGCGUCAAGUCUACAGCCAGUCUCCUCUUCAAGAGAACCACCAGCCACCAUCGUCUCUCCUCCAGUCAUCAACGUCUCUCCUCCAGCCACCACCGUCUCUCCUCCAGUCACAACUAUCUCUCCACUGGAACCACCAGCCACCUCCAUCACCCCUCCAGAUCUUCCGCUGAGGAUCAGCCAAUGGAUAUUGGUGCUCUCCUGAAAGAGAAGAAAGUGCAAUCACUAUCCUAGCCUCGAUUCAAGGCCGAUUAAAAUACGUAUUUUAAUCGGCCUUGAAUCGAGGCUAUCACUAUCCCAGAGCAUGAGAAUGGCUUUGCCUUGUGUUCUUUCAGAUAUUAUAUAAUUUAUGUUUUUGUAUAAUAUUUUUGUUGAAGGGGAAUGUGGUUAAUUAGUGGGCGUGGCAUGUAAGAUGGGGCGUGGUCAGCCAAAAAUUUUGGCGCUAUGCGCCAAGUGACACUUCUUGUCCGCGCUUUGUGCAGCCAAGAAGUAAGAACCCCCCUUCCCUAAAUCCUGGAUCCGCCCCUGAUAAUGUCCCAACUCAUUGUAUAGAGUAACAAAGCCACUGAUAGGACAGGACCCCGUUGAGUUGAAGAAUAAAUUACCAGCACUGAGCACUACAGAAUACAUGUACCCUGCAUACUUAAAACCACGGUGUACGCCACAUACAGCUUCCAGAAAGCCCUCAAAACAUAAACCCAAACCAUUGCCUUACUAUCAUAAAAGCACACAAAACAAAAACCCCAAAAUAAUGAUACACCAAAAUUAAUGAAGAUAGUGAAAUUUACACAUACAAUUAAGAUCCACAAGUACAUUACCACAAUACACAAGCCUGCCCCAUUACAUAAAGAAACAUCACAUGAUAAUCCUAAAAAUAGUCAUCAAUCUCCUCUCCACCUGGCCUACCUGAAAGAUGACAAGUGAACUAAUGUAAGCUAAAUGCAUGCACACACUUUAAAUACUGAUACAUAUAAUUAUAUAUAUAUAUAUAUAAGGUAUACAGUAAGUAAGGUAACAACAGAGAUGGGAUUCCAAAUGAAAAUUCAAAACUGAGCAUUCCGUGUUGAAUAAGAUAGGAUGUGUGGUUGAAAGCCAUCAUCCACCCUAUACCUUUUGUAUACCUUCUAUAAACACACACACACAACACACCACACACACACAGCUUGCACACAAACCGCACGGCCUGCACACGCCCUCCUCACACACACCACACACACACACAGCCCCCCCCACACACACACAAACACGGCAUGCACACCACACACACACACCACACACACAUGGCCUCCUCCACACACACACACACACACACACCACACCACACCACACAACAAACACCCUCCACACACACACGGCCCCCCUCCACACACACACACACACGGCAAGCACACCCCCCUCCUCCACACACAAACACGGUGUGCACACCACACACACACACACAUGGCUGGCACACCCCCCUCCACACACACACCACCACACCACGGCACACACACAUGGCUUCCCCCCUCCACACACACACACACACACACACGGCAAGCACACCCCCCCUCCACACACACACGGCAAGCACACCCCUCUCCACACACACAUACACGACCCCACACACACCACACCCCACACACCACACAAACACUGACACACUGACACACAGCCCCUCCACACACGGCUUGCACACCACACACACACGCGGCACACCCCCUCCACACACACAUAGGCGUGCACACCCCCCUCCCCCCUCCACACACGCACACACACGGCGUGCACACCCCCCUCCACACGGCUUGCACAUGCAUGCACACACACACACCACACACACGCACGGCGUGCACACCCCCCUCCACACACACACACCACACACACGGCUUGCACACCACACACCACACGCAGCAUGCACACACCACACACACGCACGGCGUGCACACCCCCCUCCACACACCACACACACGGCCCCCGACACACACACACACACACCGACACACACACACCACACACACGGCUUGCACACACCACACACCACACACACCACACACACACACACACGGCACACACACACACACACACACACACACACAAAUACUGACACACACACACGGCUCACACACCACACACACGCACGCACACACCCCAACACACCACACACAGCUACCACAGCUACCACACACACACACACGCACGGCCUGCACUGCAAACCCCCUCACCACACCACACACACAUACGGCGUGCACACCCCCCCCCACACCCCCUCACACACACACAAACACGGCACACACACACAAACACACACACGGCGUGCACACACACACACAAACACCGACACACACACACCACACACACACGGCUUGCACACACCACACACACUCACACACACAAUACACACACACACACACACACGGCAGAGAGUGAGAAACUGUGGGUUGAGCUGGAGCCUGUAUAGAUGAUAGUGAUCCAUCUUCGAAAAUAAUUUUGUAAAAAUUGAGUUUCACGUGACUACAAUGUGCGUUGUACGCACAUCGAUGAAACCCAGAUUAAACCCCCGACAUCAAUGAUCAGUGGCGUUUCAGUAGGAGGGUGCGUGACAGCGCCAAAACAUUUUGGGUCCCGCUCCCGCCCACGCACCAGAAGCCACACCCACGUUUUACUGCGCAUGACAGACGACACACCCUAAUUACAAAGAACAAUCCCAGUACAGCAACUCUACCAUUGCCUAACUGACUCAUGCUAUAUAAUAUAUAGAAGAAAUAGUCCUGUGUGAUCGUAAUGCUGUCUUCAUUCUCUUUGCUGAGCAGCUAGUGACAGGCAGUGUGCACAAUAAUUAUACUAUCAUGCAGAAAAUCUGUAUUAAAACAAUUAUUGUUUAAUUAUUUUAUUUUGUUUUGUUUUUUGUCUUCUACCUGGUAUUUAGAGUGCCGUGAUCAGGUUUCUGCUGGUGAUGUUGGGUUACUUUCUGAGUGAGAAACAGUGGCGGACCAAGGAAAUAUGAAAGGGGGGUUCCAAACUACGAACGCGCAGCGCGAGUAGUGAAAGUUGCGCGAAAUUUUUUGGGGUUACGCCCACUUCCGGUCACACGUGACUAGGUAAAAUCCCAGGGGAAGUCCCAUAAUAAACUUGCGUAGAGCUAGCUAGCUCUGCCACGAAUAGUCAACUAGCUAACCUAGGCUAACCUGAACACUCCUUUGGCAGUUGAUGCAUCAGAACAACAGGUACAAUCAUUGAAUCAAGCUACAAUACUGAUAAAUAGCUGAUAAAUAGCUAGCUGGUAGCUGUAGUAAAGCCACAAUAGCUUAGUCUGAAAGGGGGGAUCCAUGGCACCCUGGGAUCCCCCCUGGAUCCGCCACUGAGAAAGAACAACCUUCUCUGAUGCAGGCUCUUGACUUAUAAGUCACAGCCAGGAAACUUAUUAUCUGAAGGUGUGGUUUGACUCUCUCCAACGAGCUAGGUUCGUAGUGCAGUGCAGUGCAGGCUCAUUAUGCAGCUUCCAGCAGGUUACAGUAAUUAAUGUAAAGCUUAGGGGGUGCUUGAGCACCCUGAGCCCCUAGCUGGAUACGCCACUGAUGAUCGAAACAUAGAUGAAACCCCCGACAUCGAUGAUCGAAACAUCGAUGUAACUUUUAGAUAUUAUGUCCUCUAUUGCCGUUUGUCUCAAACACAGGAAAAAUCAGCCACUUCGACGGUAGCAGAAAUUCACCGUUUAGUCGUUCGGGACAGAUCGUCACGGGCAUCCGUCAAUACUAGUGUAACGUUGUCCGUCUGCACCGUAUCGGGAACCACUUAGACGGAGCUGCACAACGGUUACCGUGUGGCUGGCCGUUCUACACUGACCGUUGAAUACGUCGUAGUGACCAUUCCUUGCCGUCCAAAGACACUAAGACGGCUACAUACGACUCGCCGUCUAGUACAGAUCAUAAUUGAAAGAAUUUUGUUUUUAUUUAUUGACGCACACACAAGAUACAAUUACAGUUCAAGUUCAGAGAAAAUCAGGCCAAGGCCACCAGAUGUCUAUUCACAGGGUGAUGGUGAUGGGGUUAGGACCUCAAGUGACCUGAGAAAGCGGACAACAACUUGACAGGUUGUUGCCUAAAGACGAUACAUCUUGACAACCAAGGCUCGCACAAGAGUACACACACACACACACACACACACACACACACACACACACACACACACACACACACACACAAACUUACACAUAGGUUGUUGCCUAAAGACGAUACAUCUUGACAACCAAGGCUCGCACAAGAGUACACACACACACACACACAACACACACACACACACACACACACACAAAAACGUAGCACACACACAAACGUACACAUACAAGCCUAAAGACGAAACAUCUUGACAGGUUGUUGCCUAAAGACGAUAGCCUAAAGACGAUAUAUCUUGACAACCAAGGCUCGCACAAGAGCACACACACACACACACACACACGUACACAUACAAGCCCCCCUGCCUAAAGACGAAACAUCUUGACAGGUUGUUGCCAUACAUCUUGACAACCAAGGCUCGCACAAGAGUACACACACACACACACACACACACACACACAAGCCCACCUGUGUUACAGGUUUUUGCAUAUUAAAAGGCGAAACGUUCACAUAAAACCAAGGCUCACAUAUAAAUAGGUCCAGCAUUGUAAGCUUACCUAGAUGUAUCACAGUGAAUUCCAUUAGGCACAUAUCUGCAGGACGGUGCAGCAGCUCAGCAGGUGGGUCCAGUGUGGCACCUAAACACUAACCUAUAACGAUAGUCAACCAGGAAGAAGAGAGUCUGUGGUGCUCAAUAAGCGCAGAACACAGAAAGUUGGAUUCCAGAAAAGACUCUAUUCACAAAGAGCGAAGAUGUUAAAGAUAGAUGCUGAGAAACAGAAGUGGUCAUCAAUUGACUACCAAUACAUGACAGAUGAGUCAGAAUCAGAUGACGAGAGCACGAUAUGGCAGCACAAACUACAAGAGCUCAACAGCUUAAUUAGAAAGCUUGAUUCUCGUGGUACCUGGAUGGGCUGGACAGUAUGCAAAGAAGAAGCGAAUGCUAUCAAUCCCAUCAACAAAACUUCAACCGAAGGAAGCACCCGACUUCAGAUGACAACUCCUCAACGGGCACUCAUACAGGUGCUAGCAACAGGACGAAUAUAGCAAGUGAACUAUAGAUCUAGCUCUAACCCUAUAGAUCUAGCUCUUGUCCCAAAUGCUAUUUAUAUGUUU